This 229-nucleotide ribosomal RNA is filed under the name uncultured bacterium. Its description in RNAcentral is "partial 16S ribosomal RNA". It matches the Rfam family "Bacterial small subunit ribosomal RNA", at positions 568 to 796 of the family's 1533-position model. The record is from RNAcentral.
CGUGUAGGCGGCUUGGUUAGCGGAGUGUGAAAGCCCGGGGCUCAACCCCGGAACUGCAUUCCGAACUGCCGAGCUAGAGGACAGGAGGGGGAUCUGGAACUCUAGGUGGAGCGGUGAAAUGCGUAGAUAUCUAGAGGAACGCCGGUGGCGAAAGCGAGAUCCUGGCCUGUCCCUGACGCUGAGGCGCGAAAGCGUGGGUAGCAAACAGGAUUAGAUACCCUGGUAGUCC